Molecule: long non-coding RNA, 3481 nt
Filed under: Homo sapiens (human)
Lineage: Eukaryota; Metazoa; Chordata; Mammalia; Primates; Hominidae
Description: HSALNT0115667
Source: RNAcentral
AGAAAACUUUAUUAACUUUAUAUUAUUGUUGCUAUAGGCAAAGUGCAAACCUCUUAGUCGGCCAGUAAAGGCCUUUUAUGCUUUUAUGAGUGGGCCUUAACCAUGGGCCUUAAGCUACCUUUUUUUUUUUUUUUUUUUUUUGAGAUGGAGUCUUGUUCUGUGGCCCAGGCUGGAGUGGUGUGAUCUCAGCUCACCGCAACCUCUACCUCCCAGGUUCAAGCGAUUCUCUUGCCUCAGUCUCCUGAGUAGCUGGGACUGGCAGGCACACGCCACCCCGCCCAGCUAAUGUUUUUGUAUUUUUAGUAGAGAUGAGGUUUCUUCAUGUUGGCCAGGCUGGUCUCAAACUCCUGACCUCAGGUGAUUCGCCCGCCUUGGCCUCCCAAAGUUCUGGGAUUACAGGUAUGAGCCACAACACCCAGCCUUUAACGUGCCUUUCUGACUCAUCUCCUUCUCUCCGUCUUGCCUAUCCCACCACCCACUGCACCGUGGUCUCGGGCUCACUGUGCCACCAACAAGUCUUCCUCUUGGCGCCAGCUUCUUCUGCUCCUCUGAGCUUCUCCUGCUCCUCUCUGCCUCAUCUCCCAAAGCCCCUUCCUCUUUGGCCUCUUCCAGGUCAUUCUCUCUGACUCUCAUCUGCACUGUCCUCUCCCUUUCUGGGGUCAUCAGCCACACCAAGGUCUUGGUCAGUUAACUCAGCGUGACCUUGUCUGCCUCUCCAAUUAUAUCAUAAACAACCUGUGGACCGCACCUUGGGGGGCCUUCCUAAGUGCUCCCCAUGUCUUUCCGCAUGGCUCCUGAAGGGGUCCAGGGUCUCGUGUUGUCAUGUGCCUGUGCUUCUGCCCACUCCUCGGGUGCUCACAAGGGUAGGGCUGCCUGGGUGACAGUACGGCCUCCUGCAGCUGCGGGAGAGGGAGUCCAGAGGUGGCAGGAGAGGGAGUCCAGAGGUGGCAGGAGAGGGAGGCAGCCAUGGAGGGUGACACCCACUGAUGCAUUUCUCAGUCCAGUGAAUGCAGUCACUUUGGAUUUGUGAGAAUUGGGACCAGUGUUACUGCCACUAUCUACAGAGGCCUCACAAGGUUGUCUGUGCUAGCAAGUGAGUGAUUAGCAAAGACGCACUCCUGUGACACAUUAUGUUGAAAGUGCCAUCAUCAGAACCACACCACAGGGCAGUGGUUCUCCGGCAACGGCAGCCUCGGGAAACUUGAGAGAAACACAGAUUCUCCAGCCCCACCCCAGACCAAAGAAAUCAGAAGCUCUGGGGGUGGGGCCAGGAACCUGUGUUUUAACCAUCUCCCCAGCUGAUUCUGAUUCAGGCUAAAGCUGGGUGUCAGGCGAAGGGUGGGCAAGGUCUGGAGGCCCAAGCAUUUGAGGAACCUGCCCUGAUGGUGUAAAUAGUGUGCUGUGGGAGGUGCACCCGCCCUGAUGGUGUAAAUGGUGUGCUGUGGGAGGUGCACCCGCCCUGAUGGUGUAAAUGGUGUGCUGUGGGAGGUGCACCCGCCCUGAUGGUGUAAAUGGUGUGCUGUGGGAGGUGCACCCGCCCUGAUGGUGUAAAUGGUGUGCUGUGGGAGGUGCACCCGCCCUGAUGGUGUAAAUGGUGUGCUGUGGGAGGUGCACCCGCCCUGAUGGUGUAAAUGGUGUGCUGUGGGAGGUGCACCCGCCCUGAUGGUGGGAAUGGUGUGCUGUGGGAGGUGCACCCGCCCUGAUGGUGGGAAUGGUGUGCUGUGGGAGGUGCACCUGCCCUGAUGGUGUAAAUAGUGUGCUGUGGGAGGUGCAUUUGGGGUGUUAUUCUGCUAACUGACUAACAUCAAAUCCAGUGGGCCAGCAAUCCAGCUUGGGGGCUUUCAGGAGCAGGGUGCUGCGUGAACCCUCAUUUAACCCUCCCUACAAUGUGGUGCCACGGGAGUGCAUGCACCUGUUUCAGAGAUGAAGACAAAAGGCCCUCAUGGAGUCAUUUGUCCCAAGCCAUCCUGGUUGUCUGUGGUGUGCCCAUGGGUGGAGGGGCCCCGGCGGGAGAUUAAGGCUGUGUAUUAGGGUUCUUGAGAGAGACAGAACCAAUAGUAUCUGUCUGUCUACACCUAUCUAGAUAGCUAGAUGAGAAGGGAUUUGUUGGGAGAAUUGGCUCACACAUUUGUGGAGGCUGAGAAGUCCCACCACUGGCUGUCUCCAAGCUGCAGACCCUGGGAUGCUGGUGGUGAGGCUCAGUCCAAGUCCGAAGGCCUGAGAACCCAGGGGCCACGGGUGUAAGUCCUGAAGUCCAAAGGCUGGAGCGCCUGGAGUUCUGAUGUCCAAGGACAAGAGAAGAAGAGCACCCCAGCUCCAAGAGGGAGAGACACCAACUCGCCUUUCCUCUGUUUUUGCUCUCUCUGGGCCCCCAGUUGAUUGGAUGGUAUCACUCACAUUAAGAGCAGAUCUUCCCCACUUACUCCACUCAGACUCACGUGCCAGUGUCCUCUGGAGACACUCUCACAGACACACCCCAAAAUAAUGCCUCAUCAGGUUCCUGGGUACUGCUUCAUCCAGUCAAGCAGACACCUAGAAUUAACCAUCGUGGUUGGGAGGCUGGAGGAGGCCUGAGCGCUGGGGCCAGGUGGCAGAGGAGCUGGAGUGAAGGGACACAGAUCUCGCCUUCACCCACCAGUGGCCCUGGGGACUGCUUUCAGGGCGCACUGCCCGUUACACAGGUGCUCGAAUUGUAAAGAGUGUUUCAAAUGUUUACAAUGGCAGGUUUGUCAUGAAGCAGUGUUAGCUGCAGAGACAAUGUUUCUGACAUAGAGCAGUGCUGAAUAGACUGUUAAUAACUAGUGGGAAAUGGACGAGGUUUGGGAAGUGACUGCUCCAGGUCCAGGAAGGACGCUCCUAGCUGAGCAAAGGGCAUUGGGCAGAACUCACAGGCCUUCACCGGGGCCCAGAGCAUGGGGCUCCGGAGAGCAGGCUGCCUGCUGGGAAAAAAUCAACAACUUAUCUGAAGGGAAAAAAGGCAGAUUGUCGGCACAGCAGAACAGGUAAAAACAUUUAAUUGCGCACACAUUGCCGUGUCACUGGUCAACAUGUCCUUGUUCUGAAAAAGGAAGGAAACAGGCUGAGGCUAACUGAACCUGCCAGGAGGCUGUUCAUCUGCCUUAUCCUCUCCUCUCGGGACAGCUGGGGCUGGUUCUGGGAUAGGACCCACCCCGGGGACCCCUGAAGGAUAUUUGAAGAAAGUUCUGGAAGUGGGGGUGCAGGACACCCAGAGAAAUAUGAGAAGUCAUCAAAAACCCAAGGGCUGUGAGCCCCUGCCCUGCCCUUCUUCCCGCUAAGAGGCUGGGGAGAUGCCACAGUUUGUAGCAAGUGGGCCACGAAUGCUCCUUUUCUGAUGAAUGGAAUCAAAUUCACGUCUUGCUUUUCCAGGUGUUCUGUGCAGCAGGAGAAGGAACUGUCAGGAAGAAGAUAAAGUCUAGGUGAGUCCGAAGGCUGAGGCCCAGAAGGAGGUGUGAUAACUUUU